CAGUCGCCACGGUAAUACGGAGGGUGCAAGCGUUAAUCGGAAUUACUGGGCGUAAAGCGCACGCAGGCGGUCUGUCAAGUCAGAUGUGAAAUCCCCGGGCUUAACCUGGGAACUGCAUUUGAAACUGGCAGGCUAGAGUCUUGUAGAGGGGGGUAGAAUUCCAGGUGUAGCGGUGAAAUGCGUAGAGAUCUGGAGGAAUACCGGUGGCGAAGGCGGCCCCCUGGACAAAGACUGACGCUCAGGUGCGAAAGCGUGGGGAGCAAACAGGAUUAGAGACCCCAGUAGUCCCUGUCUCUUAUAC
This 301-nucleotide ribosomal RNA is filed under the name uncultured bacterium. RNAcentral's name for it is "partial 16S ribosomal RNA". It matches the Rfam family "Bacterial small subunit ribosomal RNA", at positions 509 to 807 of the family's 1533-position model. The record is from RNAcentral.